Molecule: ribosomal RNA, 418 nt
Filed under: Elusimicrobiota bacterium
Lineage: Bacteria; Pseudomonadati; Elusimicrobiota
Description: Elusimicrobia bacterium partial 23S ribosomal RNA
Rfam family: Bacterial large subunit ribosomal RNA
Source: RNAcentral
CCAGGUUUGGCACCUCGAUGUCGGCUCAUCGCAUCCUCCCGCUGGAGCAGGUGGGAAGGGUUGGGCUGUUCGCCCAUUAAAGCGGUACGUGAGCUGGGUUCAGUACGUCGUGAGACAGUACGGUCUCUAUCUACCAUGCGCGUUAGGAAACUUGAGAGGAGCUGUCCAUAGUACGAGAGGACCUGGAUGGAGGAACCUCCUGUAUACCAGUUGUCCCGCCAGGGGCAUCGCUGGGUAGCGGAGUUCCGUAGGGAUAAACGCUGAAAGCAUAUAAGCGUGAAACCCGCCUCAAGAUAAGGUUUCCCGGGUCGCAAGACCCCUGAAGGGCACCGGAAGACGACCGGUUUGAUAGGGUGCGCGUGUAAGUGCCGCAAGGCAUUAAGCUAAGCACUACUAAUCGCCCGUGAGGCUUGGCCGU